GAUGAACGCUGGCGGCGUGCCUAAUACAUGCAAGUCGAGCGAACAGAUGAGGAGCUUGCUCCUCUGACGUUAGCGGCGGACGGGUGAGUAACACGUGGAUAACCUACCUAUAAGACUGGGAUAACUUCGGGAAACCGGAGCUAAUACCGGAUAAUAUAUUGAACCGCAUGGUUCAAUAGUGAAAGACGGUUUUGCUGUCACUUAUAGAUGGAUCCGCGCCGCAUUAGCUAGUUGGUAAGGUAACGGCUUACCAAGGCAACGAUGCGUAGCCGACCUGAGAGGGUGAUCGGCCACACUGGAACUGAGACACGGUCCAGACUCCUACGGGAGGCAGCAGUAGGGAAUCUGCCGCAAUGGGCGAAAGCCUGACGGAGCAACGCCGAGUGAGUGAUGAAGGUCUUCGGAUCGUAAAACUCUGUUAUUAGGGAAGAACAAAUGUGUAAGUAACUAUGCACGUCUUGACGGUACCUAAUCAGAAAGCCACGGCUAACUACGUG
Molecule: ribosomal RNA, 497 nt
Filed under: uncultured bacterium
Lineage: Bacteria
Description: partial 16S ribosomal RNA
Rfam family: Bacterial small subunit ribosomal RNA
Source: RNAcentral